Molecule: long non-coding RNA, 679 nt
Filed under: Calidris pygmaea (Spoon-billed sandpiper)
Lineage: Eukaryota; Metazoa; Chordata; Aves; Charadriiformes; Scolopacidae
Description: lncRNA (ENSCPGG00000014291.1)
Source: RNAcentral
ACUGGGAGAGGGGAUUUUGGAGGGUUGGGGGGGUGAUGGCUGUUACUGGUUGUUACUGGGAGUAACUGGGGGUCACUGGGAGUGACUGGGGGUCACUGGGAGUUACUGGGAGUAACUGGGAGUAACUGGGAGGGGGCUUGGGGGGCACUGGGAAGGCUGGGGGGGGGUGAAGGUUGUUACUGGUUGUUACUGGUGUUUACUGGUGCCCCUCCCCCCCCGCAGGGCGCAGAGCGAGUGGGGGGAGGGGCUGCGGGGGCUGUUCCUCAGCGCCGCCCGCUUCGCCCUCCUGCGCCUGGAGGACGGGACCCCCCACCCCCCCAGCUGGAGGCCGCAGCUGCUGGUGCUGGUGAAGCUGGACGCGGAGCUGGUGGCCACUCAGCCCCACUUGGUGGCCCUGGGGGCGCAGCUCCAGGGGGGGAAGGGGCUCCUGGUCCUGGGCUCCGUCCUCCCGGGGGACCUGCCCCACGACCUGCCCCGCGCUCGCCUGGCCGAGGCCGCGCUGCGGGCCGGGCUGGCGGCGUGUGGGGCGCAGGGCUUCGUGCAGGUGCUGGUGUCGGGGGGCCGGGGCCCGGGGCUGGCGGGGCUGGUGCAGGGCUGUGGGGUGGGGGCCCUGCGCCCCGACACCCUCCUGCUGGGCUGGCCCCACAAGUGGAGGGGGGACCCCGGCACCGCCCGCAGG